This 301-nucleotide ribosomal RNA is filed under the name uncultured bacterium. RNAcentral describes it as "partial 16S ribosomal RNA". It matches the Rfam family "Bacterial small subunit ribosomal RNA", at positions 509 to 809 of the family's 1533-position model. The record is from RNAcentral.
CAGCCGCCGCGGGAAUACAGAGGGUGCGAGCGUUAAUCGGAUUUACUGGGCGUAAAGCGUGCGUAGGCGGCUUCUUAAGUCGGAUGUGAAAUCCCUGAGCUUAACUUAGGAAUUGCAUUCGAUACUGGGAAGCUAGAGUAUGGGAGAGGAUGGUAGAAUUCCAGGUGUAGCGGUGAAAUGCGUAGAGAUCUGGAGGAAUACCGAUGGCGAAGGCAGCCAUCUGGCCUAAUACUGACGCUGAGGUACGAAAGCAUGGGGAGCAAACAGGAUUAGAGACCCCUGUAGUCCCUGUCUCUUAUAA